GGAACAUCACUGCUGGGAUUAGGUAAGUAAAUAAAGGGUUUAAAACUCUUUAUUUACUGGGUGGGAGGGGGCACGAGGGAGUUGGCAGAGGGAUCAGUAGUGCCAGUAUAUCAGCUUUGUAUUCCUGGCACUACAGUAUCCCCUAAACCUUUCCUUUUAAAUCAGAACAGUUGGGAGGCCUGAUUCAGCUCAGACAUGGUUAGUCACUAAAUUCCAAACUGAGUCAAUCUAAAACCCAAAUGACAAAACUAAAGCUAAAAUAGCCCAGCAUUGACUAUUGCUGAGUUGGGGAAGUUGGCUUUCUACAUCGGCUACUCUUCACUCAGUUUUGCUAUGCCGAUGCGUAUUUACUCCGACUCCUGUGACUAUAUCUGUGGUGUAGAGCUGUUCCAGAUCAGCUAUUAUAGCCUGCCUUUCACAAUUCAUAUCUUAAUUAAACACAAUUCGGAGCUUAGUGUACCACCCUGUCUGAUCGCAGUUUAGAGAAAUAACCCUGAAAGCUUGCAGUCACUAUAUGUCUACAUAGGUUUCCUUAUGUGUGCCAAUGAUGACUCCUGUGAAGGGAUGUGCCAAAACCGUGACCUUCAAUUGGUUUAUUGCAGCCAGGAGGAGGAUCCGAGGUGAUAAAUAGGAGCGGACUCGCCGCCUGCCAGUCAUUACGCGGAGUGAAAGGUUUGAGAUUGCAAGUGGUGACGUUUUACAUCCUGGUCGCCUACAUUCAGCCACGUCCCUUCCCCUGUUAGCAUGGCCGCCUCUAGAAUGUCGCUGAGGAUCUGGGACUCCUGGUUACUCUCGCUGCUGCUCUUGUCCUCUGUAUCGGGUCAGGAAACUGAUACCCCUGGU
Molecule: non-coding RNA, 843 nt
Organism: Pelobates cultripes (western spadefoot toad)
Lineage: Eukaryota; Metazoa; Chordata; Amphibia; Anura; Pelobatidae
Source: the annotation of a GenBank genome assembly